CCUACGGGUGGCAGCAGUGAGGAAUAUUGGUCAAUGGACGCAAGUCUGAACCAGCCAUGCCGCGUGCAGGAUGACGGCUCUAUGAGUUGUAAACCUCUUUUGUCGGGGAGCAAAAGCCGGACGUUUCCGGCUGUGAGAGUACACGAAGAAAAAGCAUCGGCUCACUCCGUGCCAGCAGCCGCGGUAAUACGGAGGAUGCGCGCGUUAUCCGGAUUUAUUGGGUUUAAAGGGUGAGCAGGCGGAAUUUUAAGUCAGCGGUAAAAUCGUGGGGCUCAACCCCAUCGAGCCGUUGAAACUGGGGAUCUAGAGUGGGCGAGAGGUAUGCGGAAUGCGUGGUGUAGCGGUGAAAUGCAUAGAUAUCACGCAGAACCCCGAUUGCGAAGGCAGCAUACCGGUGCACAACUGACGCUCAGGCACGAAAGCGUGGGUAUCGAACAGGAUUAGAUACCCGGGUAGUC
RNAcentral lists this ribosomal RNA (458 nucleotides) under uncultured bacterium. RNAcentral's name for it is "partial 16S ribosomal RNA". It matches the Rfam family "Bacterial small subunit ribosomal RNA", at positions 338 to 795 of the family's 1533-position model. The record is from RNAcentral.